Molecule: ribosomal RNA, 411 nt
Filed under: Verrucomicrobiota bacterium
Lineage: Bacteria; Pseudomonadati; Verrucomicrobiota
Description: Verrucomicrobia bacterium partial 16S ribosomal RNA
Rfam family: Bacterial small subunit ribosomal RNA
Source: RNAcentral
UGGGGAAUAUUGCACAAUGGGCGGAAGCCUGAUGCAGCGACGCCGCGUGAGGGAUGACGGCCUUCGGGUUGUAAACUCCUUUCAGUACAGAAGAAGCUUUAUUGUGACGGUAUGUGCAGAAGAAGCGCCGGCUAACUACGUGCCAGCAGCCGCGGUAAUACGUAGGGCGCGAGCGUUGUCCGGAAUUAUUGGGCGUAAAGAGCUCGUAGGCGGUUUGUCGCGUCUGCUGUGAAAGACCGGGGCUUAACUCCGGGGCUGCAGUGGGUACGGGCAGGCUGGAGUGCGGUAGGGGUAACCGGAAUUCCUGGUGUAGCGGUGGAAUGCGCAGAUAUCAGGAGGAACACCGAUGGCGAAGGCAGGUUACUGGGCCGUUACUGACGCUGAGGAGCGAAAGCAUGGGGAGCGAACAGG